CCUACGGGAGGCAGCAGUGGGGAAUAUUGCACAAUGGGGGAAACCCUGAUGCAGCGACGCCGCGUGAGUGAAGAAGUAUCUAGGUAUGUAAAGCUCUAUCUGCCGGGGAGCAGAAAGACGGUACCUGACUAAGAAGCCCCGGCUAACUACGUGCCACCAGCCGCGGUAAUACGUAGGGGUCAAGCGUUAUCCGGAUUUAAUGGGGGUAAAGGGAGGGUAGACGGCUGUGUAAGUCUGAAGGUAAAGCCUAGGGGUCAAACCUCGUACUGCUUUGGAAACUGUGGAGCUAGAGUGCUCGAGAGGUAAGCGGAAUUCGUGGUGUAGCGGUGAAAUGCGUAGAUAUUAGGCGGAACACCAGUUGCGAAGGCGGCUUACUGGACAGUAACUGACGUUGAGGCUCGAAAGCGUGGGGAGCGAACAGGAUUAGAUACCCGGGUAGUC
This 441-nucleotide ribosomal RNA is filed under the name uncultured bacterium. RNAcentral's name for it is "partial 16S ribosomal RNA". It matches the Rfam family "Bacterial small subunit ribosomal RNA", at positions 338 to 795 of the family's 1533-position model. The record is from RNAcentral.